Small nucleolar RNA from Rattus norvegicus (Norway rat), 72 nucleotides. Ensembl annotates it as small nucleolar RNA SNORA17. Lineage: Eukaryota; Metazoa; Chordata; Mammalia; Rodentia; Muridae. The record is from Ensembl.
CCUGUCCCUAGAGACCUUACAAGUGUGACUGCUAUGUCACAUGUGCCUCAGUAGGUGGCAGAGAGGGAGAGU